CCUACUCCUACGGGAGGCAGCAGUGGGGAAUAUUGCACAAUGGGCGCAAGCCUGAUGCAGCAACGCCGCGUGAGGGAUGACGGCCUUCGGGUUGUAAACCUCUUUUAGCAGGGAAGAAGCGAGAGUGACGGUACCUGCAGAAAAAGCACCGGCUAACUACGUGCCAGCAGCCGCGGUAAUACGUAGGGUGCAAGCGUUAUCCGGAAUUAUUGGGCGUAAAGAGCUCGUAGGCGGUUUGUCGCGUCUGCUGUGAAAUUCCGAGGCUCAACCUCGGGCUUGCAGUGGGUACGGGCAGACUAGAGUGCGGUAGGGGAGAUUGGAAUUCCUGGUGUAGCGGUGGAAUGCGCAGAUAUCAGGAGGAACACCGAUGGCGAAGGCAGAUCUCUGGGCCGUAACUGACGCUGAGGAGCGAAAGGGUGGGGAGCAAACAGGCUUAGAUACCCUGGUAGUCCACCCCGUAAACGUUGGGAACUAGUUGUGGGGUCCUUUCCACGGAUUCCGUGACGCAGCUAACGCAUUAAGUUCCCCGCCUGGGGAGUACGGCCGCAAGGCUAAAACUCAAAGGAAUUGACGGGGACCCGCACAAGCGGCGGAGCAUGCGGAUUAAUUCGAUGCAACGCGAAGAACCUUACCAAGGCUUGACAUACACGAGAACGGGCCAGAAAUGGGUCAACCUC
RNAcentral lists this ribosomal RNA (677 nucleotides) under Microbacterium sp. RNAcentral describes it as "bacterial SSU rRNA". It matches the Rfam family "Bacterial small subunit ribosomal RNA", at positions 332 to 1018 of the family's 1533-position model. Lineage: Bacteria; Bacillati; Actinomycetota; Actinomycetes; Micrococcales; Microbacteriaceae. The record is from RNAcentral.